This 443-nucleotide ribosomal RNA is filed under the name uncultured ammonia-oxidizing beta proteobacterium. RNAcentral's name for it is "bacterial SSU rRNA". It matches the Rfam family "Bacterial small subunit ribosomal RNA", at positions 198 to 622 of the family's 1533-position model. The record is from RNAcentral. Lineage: Bacteria; Pseudomonadati; Pseudomonadota; Betaproteobacteria.
GGAGGAAAGCAGGGGAUCGUAAGACCUUGCGCUUUUGGAGCGGCCGAUGUCUGAUUAGCUAGUUGGUGGGGUAAUGGCCUACCAAAGCUUCGAUCAGUAGCUGGUCUGAGAGGACGGCCAGCCACACUGGGACUGAGACACGGCCCAGACUCCUACGGGAGGCAGCAGUGGGGAAUUUUGGACAAUGGGCGCAAGCCUGAUCCAGCCAUGCCGCGUGAGUGAAGAAGGCCUUCGGGUUGUAAAGCUCUUUCAGCCGGGAAGAAAAGGCUGCGACUAAUAAUCGCAGUUCAUGACGGUACCGGAAGAAGAAGCACCGGCUAACUACGUGCCAGCAGCCGCGGUAAUACGUAGGGUGCGAGCGUUAAUCGGAAUUACUGGGCGUAAAGCGUGCGCAGGUGGUUUUGUAAGUCAGAUGUGAAAUCCCCGGGCUUAACCUGGGAAUU